AUCGAACGCUGGCGGCAGGCCUAACACAUGCAAGUCGAACGAGUGGCGGAGGGGUGAGCAAUGUCUGGGAACCUGCCUGAUGGAGGGGGAAAACUACUGGAACCGGUAGAUAAUACCGCAUACUAUCGGUUGUGCUGAGCUGGGAUUAGCGAGUAGGUGGGGUAAAGGCGCACUUAGGCGACGAUCCCUAGCUGGUCGGAGAGGCGGACCGGCAAGACGGUGACUGAGACACGGUCCAGACUCCGACGGGAGGAAGCAGUGGGGAAUAUUGCGCAAUGGGCGCAAGCCUGAUGCAGCCAUGCCGCGUGUAUGAAGAAGGCCUUCGGGUUGUAAAGUACUUUCAGCGGGGAGGCGGUACCCGCAGAAGAAGCACCGGCUAACUCCGUGCCAGCAGCCGCGGUAAUAC
This 406-nucleotide ribosomal RNA is filed under the name uncultured bacterium. RNAcentral's name for it is "partial 16S ribosomal RNA". It matches the Rfam family "Bacterial small subunit ribosomal RNA", at positions 29 to 526 of the family's 1533-position model. The record is from RNAcentral.